AAAAAGGUAAACCCUGGGUUUCCGUGUCCAACUUUAACGGUCUGUCUUAUAUGAAAUUUUUUUAUAAUUCAUAUUUUUAUUGUUGUUAGAUGAUAAAACAUGAUUAAUAUUUUAUGCGUGACUUGUCUUUUUAAUUUUUUUUAUAAUUUUUUUAAAUAAGACGGACGGUCAAACGUUGGAUACGGAAUUUAGGGUU
Molecule: microRNA precursor, 196 nt
Organism: Oryza sativa Indica Group (long-grained rice)
Lineage: Eukaryota; Viridiplantae; Streptophyta; Magnoliopsida; Poales; Poaceae
Rfam family: MIR812 microRNA precursor family
Source: Rfam